UGCAGCUUCUCUGGCGAUGGCAAACAACUGGAAACAAACCCAGAUGUCCAUCAAGAAUGGCUUUGUUAAAUAAAGCAUGGAACCUCCAAGCUACUGUGAAGCAACACAAAGAUUAAGAAGCUCUCCGUGUUUGGAUAUGCACAAAGUUCUAGGACAUUUUAUUACCAAUGGAAACGGAUCUUCAGACGUCCCAGAAAUACCAAGUGGAACCUCUCUCAUGGGAAGUAACACUGUUGAAUGUUUCUCAGUCAUCAGAAAAG
RNAcentral lists this long non-coding RNA (260 nucleotides) under Mustela putorius furo (domestic ferret). Its description in RNAcentral is "lncRNA (ENSMPUG00000029064.1)". The record is from RNAcentral. Lineage: Eukaryota; Metazoa; Chordata; Mammalia; Carnivora; Mustelidae.